GACGAACGCUGGCGGCGUGCUUAACACAUGCAAGUCGAACGGAAAGGCCCUGCUUUUGUGGGGUGCUCGAGUGGCGAACGGGUGAGUAACACGUGAGUAACCUGCCCUUGACUUUGGGAUAACUUCAGGAAACUGGGGCUAAUACCGGAUAGGAGCUCCUGCUGCAUGGAGGGGGUUGGAAAGUUUCGGCGGUUGGGGAUGGACUCGCGGCUUAUCAGCUUGUUGGUGGGGUAGUGGCUUACCAAGGCUUUGACGGGUAGCCGGCCUGAGAGGGUGACCGGCCACAUUGGGACUGAGAUACGGCCCAGACGCCUACGGGAGGCAGCAGUGGGGAAUAUUGCACAAUAGGCGGAAGCCUGAUGCAGCAACGCCGCGUGCGGGAUGACGGCCUUCGGGUUGUAGACCGCUUUCGCCUGUGACGAAGCGUGAGUUACGGUAAUGGGUAAAGAAGCACCGGCUAACUACGUG
RNAcentral lists this ribosomal RNA (468 nucleotides) under uncultured bacterium. RNAcentral describes it as "partial 16S ribosomal RNA". It matches the Rfam family "Bacterial small subunit ribosomal RNA", at positions 28 to 507 of the family's 1533-position model. The record is from RNAcentral.